UACGUAGGGGGCAAGCGUUGUCCGGGAUCAUUGGGCGUAAAGAGCGUGUAGGCGGCCCGGUAAGUCCGUUGUGAAAGUCCAGGGCUCAACCCUGGAAUGCCGAUGGAUACUGCCGGGCUAGAGUUCGGAAGAGGCGAGUGGAAUUCCUGGUGUAGCGGUGGAAUGCGCAGAUAUCCGGAGGAACACCGAUAGCGAAGGCAGCUCGCUGGGACGACACUGACGCUGAGACGCGAAAGCGUGGGGAGCGAACAGG
RNAcentral lists this ribosomal RNA (253 nucleotides) under uncultured bacterium. Its description in RNAcentral is "partial 16S ribosomal RNA". It matches the Rfam family "Bacterial small subunit ribosomal RNA", at positions 524 to 776 of the family's 1533-position model. The record is from RNAcentral.